Molecule: ribosomal RNA, 253 nt
Filed under: uncultured bacterium
Lineage: Bacteria
Description: partial 16S ribosomal RNA
Rfam family: Bacterial small subunit ribosomal RNA
Source: RNAcentral
UACGUAGGGUGCAAGCGUUGUCCGGAAUUAUUGGGCGUAAAGAGCUCAUAGGCGGUCUGUCGCGUCUGCUGUGAAAACUCGGGGCUUAACCCCGGGCCUGCAGUGGGUACGGGCAGACUAGAGUGCGGUAGGGGAGACUGGAAUUCCUGGUGUAGCGGUGAAAUGCGCAGAUAUCAGGAGGAACACCGGUGGCGAAGGCGGGUCUCUGGGCAGUAACUGACGCUGAGGAGCGAAAGCGUGGGGAGCGAACAGG